RNAcentral lists this ribosomal RNA (497 nucleotides) under uncultured bacterium. Its description in RNAcentral is "partial 16S ribosomal RNA". It matches the Rfam family "Bacterial small subunit ribosomal RNA", at positions 28 to 507 of the family's 1533-position model. The record is from RNAcentral.
GAUGAACGCUGGCGGCGUGCCUAAUACAUGCAAGUCGAGCGAACAGACGAGGAGCUUGCUCCUCUGACGUUAGCGGCGGACGGGUGAGUAACACGUGGAUAACCUACCUAUAAGACUGGGAUAACUUCGGGAAACCGGAGCUAAUACCGGAUAAUAUAUUGAACCGCAUGGUUCAAUAGUGAAAGACGGUUUUGCUGUCACUUAAAGAUGGAUCCGCGCCGCAUUAGCUAGUUGGUAAGGUAACGGCUUACCAAGGCAACGAUGCGUAGCCGACCUGAGAGGGUGAUCGGCCACACUGGAACUGAGACACGGUCCAGACUCCUACGGGAGGCAGCAGUAGGGAAUCUUCCGCAAAGGGCGAAAGCCUGACGGAGCAACGCCGCGUGAGUGAUGAAGGUCUUCGGAUCGUAAAACUCUGUUAUUAGGGAAGAACAAAUGUGUAAGUAACUAUGCACGUCUUGACGGUACCUAAUCAGAAAGCCACGGCUAACUACGUG